CAUUAAGUGACUGAAAAAUAAGUAUUGGUCUCUUAAACCAAAUAAUAGUAGGAUAAUAUAUACUCUUAAUGA
This 72-nucleotide transfer RNA is filed under the name Philagra albinotata. RNAcentral's name for it is "tRNA-Lys". Lineage: Eukaryota; Metazoa; Arthropoda; Insecta; Hemiptera; Aphrophoridae. The record is from RNAcentral.